AGUCGUAACAAGGUUUCCGUAGGUGAACCUGCGGAAGGAUCAUUACCGAGUGUAGGGUUCCUAGCGAGCCCAACCUCCCACCCGUGUUUACUGUACCUUAGUUGCUUCGGCGGGCCCGCCAUUCAUGGCCGCCGGGGGCUCUCAGCCCCGGGCCCGCGCCCGCCGGAGACACCACGAACUCUGUCUGAUCUAGUGAAGUCUGAGUUGAUUGUAUCGCAAUCAGUUAAAACUUUCAACAAUGGAUCUCUUGGUUCCGGCAUCGAUGAAGAACGCAGCGAAAUGCGAUAACUAGUGUGAAUUGCAGAAUUCCGUGAAUCAUCGAGUCUUUGAACGCACAUUGCGCCCCCUGGUAUUCCGGGGGGCAUGCCUGUCCGAGCGUCAUUGCUGCCCAUCAAGCACGGCUUGUGUGUUGGGUCGUCGUCCCCUCUCCGGGGGGGACGGGCCCCAAAGGCAGCGGCGGCACCGCGUCCGAUCCUCGAGCGUAUGGGGCUUUGUCACCCGCUCUGUAGGCCCGGCCGGCGCUUGCCGAACGCAAAUCAAUCUUUUUCCAGGUUGACCUCGGAUCAGGUAGGGAUACCCGCUGAACUUAAGCAUAUCA
Molecule: unclassified non-coding RNA, 598 nt
Filed under: Aspergillus flavus
Lineage: Eukaryota; Fungi; Ascomycota; Eurotiomycetes; Eurotiales; Aspergillaceae
Description: sequence contains 18S rRNA gene, ITS1, 5.8S rRNA gene, ITS2, 28S rRNA gene
Rfam family: 5.8S ribosomal RNA (bases 228-381)
Source: RNAcentral